Molecule: long non-coding RNA, 1096 nt
Organism: Columba livia (rock pigeon)
Lineage: Eukaryota; Metazoa; Chordata; Aves; Columbiformes; Columbidae
Exons: 5
Source: RefSeq, a predicted model, not a curated record
UGUGCCCAAGCAGCCUGGUUGAGAAUAUGUCCUGAGGACCCAUUUGUCUCUUUUAUGGCAGUGGAUAUAUUUUUAAGCCUCUGGAUAACAGGAGCAGGAUCUGAAUCCUGUGUUUCUGCAGGGAGAGCUCAGCUGAAAUAUCAGUCCACUAGGAAAGCUGAGGAGGUAAUUUGCAUUUGCUCUGUGAGUCUUGUGCCAAGCAGCUGUUACCACUUUCCUCGAGCUGGCAUAUCCAGGGAGGGAAAAGAAUAGAGGAAGCACAUCUAUGUCCUUGUGUGAGAGUCAGCCUCUGCAGGUGCCAAGCUGGAGUGUAUGCUCAAAUAUACCCGCAUGCUUCCAGUGACUCCACAUGGUGCCAUUGACUAUGGUCCCAGACCGGUUGGCAACAUUAGCAGCAACAGAAAGUGCCUUUGGUCCUGUGGAUGGACACCUCUUCAGCUGAUUGAUGUAAACACACUUUAGAAUGGUUCUCGGAAAUUGCUUUGGGGUUCUGUGCAAACAAUCAGGUUAAAAGCAUAGAUUUCUAAUUAAAAAUUCCACAUACCCCAUUAAACUGUCAGUAUAGCAUAUCAUUCUGGCUCUUCCUUCCUGUUGGGAUGCCUUGACCUGUUCCCUGGAUUAGGCAUAUAAACUCUUCCUCUGCUAGCCCACCCUUCUUGGCACUUUGGUCAACUUCUGUUCUCCAAGUUUGGCCAGCUGGCUACAGCUCCUCUGUAACAAGCAGCCUUCACAUCCCAUAGCCACAGCCGGCAUACUCUGUGCGACUCUAUCCACAUGGCAGGAGGUCUGAAUUUGUUAUUGCUCUUGGCAGAUUACAUACAGAUAUGGAAAUGAGAUAAUUCAUUAAUUCAUAUCAAAUUACUUGGAUAUUGGCUACUAGUGGCUUCCUACCCUUUCCAACAUCUGAGUUGUCUUAUCCAACAAAAUAAGAGGUAAUGCUAUCUAACCUCUCUAGCUGGGAGUUGUGCUGAAAACUCUGUGCAUACACUGAUCGUUAAUAUUUCUGCCAAAUUUAGGUGUGGAAAAUGACAAAGUUACUUCCUCCAGCUGUUUUUCUUAUAAACUUGUUGGAGAUACUUGCCCACUGCAGUAAGGC